This 335-nucleotide unclassified non-coding RNA is filed under the name soil metagenome. RNAcentral's name for it is "partial contains 5.8S ribosomal RNA, internal transcribed spacer 2, and large subunit ribosomal RNA". The stretch from base 1 to 119 matches the Rfam family "5.8S ribosomal RNA", at positions 35 to 154 of the family's 154-position model. The record is from RNAcentral.
GAUGAAGAACGUAGCGAAAUGCGAUACGUAAUGUGAAUUGCAAAUUCAGUGAAUCAUCGAGUCUUUGAACGCACAUUGCGCCCCUUGGUAUUCCAUGGGGCAUGCCUGUUCGAGCGUCAUUUGUACCUUCAAGCUUUGCUUGGUGUUGGGUGUUUGUCUCGCCUUUGCGUGUAGACUCGCCUUAAAAUAAUUGGCAGCCGGCGUAUUGAUUUCGGAGCGCAGUACAUCUCGCGCUUUGCACUCAUAACGACAGCGUCCAAAAGUACAUUUUACACUCUUGACCUCGGAUCAGGUAGGGAUACCCGCUGAACUUAAGCAUAUCAAUAAGCGGAGGA